CGAACGGGUGAGUAACGCGUGAGGAACCUGCCUCAAAGAGGGGGACAACAGUUGGAAACGGCUGCUAAUACCGCAUAAGCCCACGGGUCGGCAUCGACCUGAGGGAAAAGGAGCAAUCCGCUUUGAGAUGGCCUCGCGUCCGAUUAGCUAGUUGGUGAGGUAAUGGCCCACCAAGGCGACGAUCGGUAGCCGGACUGAGAGGUUGAACGGCCACAUUGGGACUGAGACACGGCCCAG
Molecule: ribosomal RNA, 237 nt
Filed under: uncultured bacterium
Lineage: Bacteria
Description: partial 16S ribosomal RNA
Rfam family: Bacterial small subunit ribosomal RNA
Source: RNAcentral